CCUGGCGGCACUAGCGCGGUGGUCCCACCUGACCCCAUGCCGAACUCAGAAGUGAAACGCCCGUAGCGCCGAUGGUAGUGUGGGGUCUCCCCAUGCGAGAGUAGGGAACUGCCAGGC
This 117-nucleotide ribosomal RNA is filed under the name Salmonella enterica subsp. enterica serovar Bredeney. Lineage: Bacteria; Pseudomonadati; Pseudomonadota; Gammaproteobacteria; Enterobacterales; Enterobacteriaceae. The record is from RNAcentral.